UACGGAGGGUGCAAGCGUUAUCCGGAUUCACUGGGGUUAAAGGGAGCGCAGGCGGAUUUGUAAGUCAGUGGUGAAAGGCUUAAGCUUAACUUGGGAACUGCCAUUGAUACUAUAAGUCUUGAAUGUUGUUGAGGUUUGCGGAAUGGGUCAUGUAGCGGUGGAAUGCAUAGAUAUGACCCGGAACACCUAUUGCGAAGGCAGCAGGCUAAACAAAUAUUGACGCUGAGGCUCGAAAGCGUGGGGAUCAAACAGG
RNAcentral lists this ribosomal RNA (253 nucleotides) under uncultured bacterium. RNAcentral's name for it is "partial 16S ribosomal RNA". It matches the Rfam family "Bacterial small subunit ribosomal RNA", at positions 524 to 776 of the family's 1533-position model. The record is from RNAcentral.